GACGAACGCUGGCGGCGUGCUUAACACAUGCAAGUCGAACGGAAAGGCCCUGCUUUUGUGGGGUGCUCGAGUGGCGAACGGGUGAGUAACACGUGAGUAACCUGCCCUUGACUUUGGGAUAACUUCAGGAAACUGGGGCUAAUACCGGAUAGGAGCUCCUGCUGCAUGGUGGGGGUUGGAAAGUUUCGGCGGUUGGGGAUGGACCCGCGGCUUAUCAGCUUGUUGGUGGGGUAGUGGCUUACCAAGGCUUUGACGGGUAGCCGGCCUGAGAGGGUGACCGGCCACAUUGGGACUGAGAUACGGCCCAGACUCCUACGGGAGGCAGCAGUGGGGAAUAUUGCACAAUGGGCGGAAGCCUGAUGCAGCAACGCCGCGUGCGGGAUGACGGCCUUCGGGUUGUAAACCGCUUUCGCCUGUGACGAAGCGUCAGUGACGGUAAUGGGUAAAGAAGCACCGGCUAACUACGUG
RNAcentral lists this ribosomal RNA (468 nucleotides) under uncultured bacterium. RNAcentral describes it as "partial 16S ribosomal RNA". It matches the Rfam family "Bacterial small subunit ribosomal RNA", at positions 28 to 507 of the family's 1533-position model. The record is from RNAcentral.